This 252-nucleotide ribosomal RNA is filed under the name uncultured bacterium. Its description in RNAcentral is "partial 16S ribosomal RNA". It matches the Rfam family "Bacterial small subunit ribosomal RNA", at positions 524 to 776 of the family's 1533-position model. The record is from RNAcentral.
UACGGAGGAUGCAAGCGUUAUCCGGAAUUAUUGGGCGUAAAGCGUCCGCAGGUGGUUAUCCAAGUCUGCUGUUAAAGCGCGAGGCUUAACUUCGUACAGGCAGUGGAAACUGGGUGACUGGAGUAUGGUAGGGGUAGCGGGAAUUCCAGUGUAGCGGUGAAUGACGCAGAUAUCAGGAGGAACACCGGUGGCGAAGGCGGGUCUCUGGGCCGUAACUGACGCUGAGGAGCGAAAGCGUGGGGAGCGAACAGG